This 484-nucleotide ribosomal RNA is filed under the name uncultured bacterium. Its description in RNAcentral is "partial 16S ribosomal RNA". It matches the Rfam family "Bacterial small subunit ribosomal RNA", at positions 30 to 507 of the family's 1533-position model. The record is from RNAcentral.
AUUGAACGCUGGCGGCAGGCCUAACACAUGCAAGUCGAGCGGAUGAAGGGAGCUUGCUCCUGGAUUCAGCGGCGGACGGGUGAGUAAUGCCUAGGAAUCUGCCUGGUAGUGGGGGAUAACGUCCGGAAACGGGCGCUAAUACUGCAUACGUCCUGAGGGAGAAAGUGGGGGAUCUUCGGACCUCACGCUAUCAGAUGAGCCUAGGUCGGAUUAGCUAGUUGGUGGGGUAAAGGCCUACCAAGGCGACGAUCCGUAACUGGUCUGAGAGGAUGAUCAGUCACACUAGAACUUGGACACCGUCCAGGCUCCUAAGGGAGGGAGCAGUCGGGAAUAUUGGACAAUGGGCGAAAGCCUGAUCCAGCAAUGCCACGUGUGUUAAGAAGGUCUUCGGAUUGUAAAGACCUUUAAGUUGGGAGGAAGGGCAGUAAGUUAAUACCUUGCUGUUUUGACGUUAGCAACAGAAGAAGCACCGGCUAACUUCGUG